RNAcentral lists this ribosomal RNA (228 nucleotides) under uncultured bacterium. Its description in RNAcentral is "partial 16S ribosomal RNA". It matches the Rfam family "Bacterial small subunit ribosomal RNA", at positions 524 to 750 of the family's 1533-position model. The record is from RNAcentral.
UACGUAGGGUGCAAGCGUUAAUCGGAAUUACUGGGCGUAAAGCGUGCGCAGGCGGUUCGCUAAGACAGAUGUGAAAUCCCCGGGCUUAACCUGGGAACUGCAUUUGUGACUGGCGGGCUAGAGUAUGGCAGAGGGGGGUAGAAUUCCACGUGUAGCAGUGAAAUGCGUAGAGAUGUGGAGGAAUACCGAUGGCGAAGGCAGCCCCCUGGGCCCAAUACUGACGCUCAU